GUUCCUACGAGCUAAGUUGGUACGACUUCCAACGACGCUCUUUUGUCUUAGGAGUCGAUCACGUAUUAAUUAUCUAAGUGUAUCCGGUGUGUUCGGACGUUUUGUACGAGGUGGCGAAAUAUAGAACGUAAAUUAGAAUGUCUUGAUGUAGGUUAGAUUCUUGACGAUAGAUGAGAAUCAACAAGGACAAGCAAUCAGGUUGCUUGGAACAGCUUUUGCAAAUGUAAGAAGAAAUAUUUGCACCGGUGACGAGAUGGCGACGCUAUUAGUCCUGGCGAUACAAUAACCAACGACCCAGGUGGAAAAGAAAUGGAGGACUUGGAACCGUAGCGAGGUCGUUUAAUCCGUUGCUAUUUUUCAUAAAAUAGUGUCGUAUGUUUAAGUAUGACGAAUAAAUGAAUUAAUCGAAUGGAAAAGAAAGAAGAAAACGG
Molecule: long non-coding RNA, 431 nt
Organism: Bombus pyrosoma
Lineage: Eukaryota; Metazoa; Arthropoda; Insecta; Hymenoptera; Apidae
Exons: 3
Source: RefSeq, a predicted model, not a curated record